GCUUAGAGGGCUCAGUUGGUAGAGCAUGAGACUCUUGAUCUCAAGGUCAUGAGUUCAAGUA
This 61-nucleotide transfer RNA is filed under the name Felis catus (domestic cat). It matches the Rfam family "tRNA". From Rfam's summary of the family: Transfer RNA (tRNA) molecules are approximately 80 nucleotides in length. Their secondary structure includes four short double-helical elements and three loops (D, anti-codon, and T loops). Further hydrogen bonds mediate the characteristic L-shaped molecular structure. tRNAs have two regions of fundamental functional importance: the anti-codon, which is responsible for specific mRNA codon recognition, and the 3' end, to which the tRNAs corresponding amino acid is attached (by aminoacyl-tRNA synthetases). tRNAs cope with the degeneracy of the genetic code in two manners: having more than one tRNA (with a specific anti-codon) for a particular amino acid; and 'wobble' base-pairing, i.e. permitting non-standard base-pairing at the 3rd anti-codon position. Lineage: Eukaryota; Metazoa; Chordata; Mammalia; Carnivora; Felidae. The record is from Rfam by way of RNAcentral. RNAcentral also lists the same sequence under 4 other names.